GAUGAACGCUGGCGGCGUGCCUAAUACAUGCAAGUCGAGCGAACGGACGAGGAGCUUGUUCCUUUGACGUUAGCGGCGGACGGGAGAGUAACCCGUGGAUAACAUCCAUAUCAGACUGGGAUUACUACGGGAAACCGGAGCUAAUACCGGAUAAUAUAAUGAACCGCAUGGUUCAAUAGUGAAAGACGGUUUUGCUGUCAAUUAAAGAUGGAUCCGCGCCGCAUUAGCUAGUUGGUAAGGUAACGGCUUACCAAGGCAACGAUGCGUAGCCGACCUGAGAGAGUGAUCGGCCACACUGGAACUGAGACACGGUCCAGACUCCUACGGGAGGCAGCAGUAGGGAAUCUUCCGCAAUGGGCGAAAGCCUGACGGAGCAACGCCGCAAGGGUGAUGAAGGUCUUCGGAUCGUAAAGCUCUGUUAUUAGGGAAGAACAAAUGUGUAAGUAGCUAUGCACGUCUUGACGGUACCUAAUCAGAAAGCCACGGCUAACUACGUG
RNAcentral lists this ribosomal RNA (497 nucleotides) under uncultured bacterium. RNAcentral's name for it is "partial 16S ribosomal RNA". It matches the Rfam family "Bacterial small subunit ribosomal RNA", at positions 28 to 507 of the family's 1533-position model. The record is from RNAcentral.